UACGAAGGGGGCUAGCGUUGUUCGGAAUUACUGGGCGUAAAGCGCACGUAGGCGGAUAUUUAAGUCAGGGGUGAAAUCCCAGAGCUCAACUCUGGAACUGCCUUUGAUACUGGGUAUCUUGAGUAUGGAAGAGGUGAGUGGAAUUCCGAGUGUAGAGGUGAAAAUUCGUAGAUAUUCGGAGGAACACCAGUGGCGAAGGCGGCUCACUGGUCCAUUACUGACGCUGAGGUGCGAAAGCGUGGGGAGCAAACAGGG
RNAcentral lists this ribosomal RNA (255 nucleotides) under uncultured bacterium. RNAcentral describes it as "partial 16S ribosomal RNA". It matches the Rfam family "Bacterial small subunit ribosomal RNA", at positions 524 to 777 of the family's 1533-position model. The record is from RNAcentral.